This is a long non-coding RNA of Triticum aestivum (bread wheat), 3627 nucleotides long. RefSeq lists it as uncharacterized. The record is from RefSeq and is a predicted model, not a curated record. NCBI's taxonomy places the organism in Eukaryota, Viridiplantae, Streptophyta, Magnoliopsida, Poales, Poaceae. The transcript is spliced from 2 exons.
CCACAAACACACACAGGCUCCCAAUUCUAAAAAAAGAGCACAAGCUCUCCCUCGCCUCCGGAUCCAGCCGCCACGAGCGCCCGAUCCCACAUGACGCUCGAUCCGGUGUUGUGCCGGUCGCCGGCGUUGAGGAUCCCCCUCCCCCUUCUUACAUCUCUCUCUCGCACGAAAUAGGGUUGGGCGCCUCCGCCGUUUUCCUGUUGGCAAAGCCCCGGAUCAUCGUGUUCCCGCGUAGGAGAGAGCGGCAGGGUUGAGCUCCUGUGAAGAGACAUGGAGGUGAGGAUGGGUGCGGCGCCUGUCCUCUCCCAUCAAGCACCAGAUCAAAGAAGCAGCAGCUCCCCACCUCCAUCCCGUCUCCUCUCCUACAUCGGCUGUGCCAUGCCACACUCAUGGAGCGGAGUCGCAGAAGCACCUGAAGAAUCACGUAGUUGAUCCGGCCUUGGGUGGAUGCCUGGGAAGAUUGGAUCUACAUUGAGUAAAUUGAUGUUCAUACAUGAUGGGUCAAAGAUGGCGCAGUAGGUGUCACAGUGAACUAUUACCAGCUUGAGGAGAUGCUCACAUGACAACAUGGUUGUCGGAUGUCACAUCCGGCUAGAGCAAGCUUCUCUUCCAAAUUCUAUGGAUUAUUUCACUUACCUUAUUUUUCUGGCCGUAGCUCCUUUUUAAAAUUGUUUGGUGCUGUAUGAGCCAAGCCUGAAGAUAUACAAUAUACAGGCUUAUAGUUAGUAUUUUCCUUUUUAUAUCUCAUGGUUACUGUUUCAGUUAGCUAGAAGGAUGUGCUACAGUUACAGUAGUCACAUGCCUUUUAUACUAUGUUUGGUUUAUAUAACUGUUAAAGCAUAUGUUGACUUGCUAAAUAGUGUUGCAUGCAGGUUUCCUGUCGAAACAAACACUCAAUUGAUAGAUAUGCAAUUGUUUCCGACCUGGUGCGUAGCUGAAAAAUAACAUAUGGCCUAUACAUAUUCUACAUUGCCGGUUUGCAGAUUCUUUAACCAUACUGGCAUAAUAGCCUACUGAAUGUAUCAGAAUUUAUUAUUUUUCAGAUUUGUGUUAUUAUGAACUGAGAUGCCCAAAGAAAUAUGUUUCUGAAUCAUUAAUCAGGGUGUAGUCUAUGCUUUUCAUGCAUGCUCAAAGAGAAUAUGUUUAAUUAAUACUACACACACACACACACACACACACACACACAUAUUUACGAAAUAAAGUUAAUAAACAGUCACUCUUUUCUACACUCCAGGACAAGGACUGCACUAUGGAUACAGAUUAGCCUUGCAGGUUUGAAAUUUAAAAAUACAUUUAACCUUACAGAUAUGGAAAUCUGAAAAAUGCAACAACUGAAUGACUUUUAUUUGUGUAAUCAGUUGCAGGAAAGUGUAGUAUUGUUAAGUGGAAAAUUGUAGCCGAUUGAGGCUUAUAGUUUGUUCCUGAUUCUGCUGUUAGAUAUUAUGUAUAUUGUCAAUGUUUGAUGUAGCCAUAUCUAAUCCACAGAUGGGUAGGCACCUUUGAGUUUUUAUCAUAGAUACAAACAUUGUAGUGUGAGCUUUAUGAUUUUUAUGAUGUACUAACUUGCAUUAGUCAACCAGGAACAAAAGUUAUCUUCUAUAUCUAUAUAAACGAUGAUAAAAUCUCAGUGUUCGCGAUGCCUCCAACAUGAGGUGAACUGUCUCGGUAAAAAAACUGUCCCGGUAAAAAUAUAUGAAUGGAGGUGUGCAGUGCAGUUUGCUACUGGAGCAAAGCAAAGAUUAGCAGUUAGCCAUAAAGAAUCAAAAAAUAAGUUGCACAAGAACCACAAGUCAAGAUCCACCAGUGAACCAUCCUCACAAAAAUACUAAUCACAGUAUCGCAACACACAAAAAGGACAUGAAUUUGUAUGAUUAAUCUCAGGUGAAACAUUAGCAACACUAGAAAAUUUAGGAAAUAAGCUUUUGUCUGCUUUAUAUAGAUAAAACAAACCAACGCAUGGUGCUCUGGAACACAACUAACAAAGGCUAGGAAACAUGAGAAGAAAGGAUAAAAAGAUAAUGCUGACUGAUGCACCAACGUGGUGUGAUCGAUUACGUAAGUUUUUUCUUCCUACAAAGUUCAUCGUAUGAUUUAUUUGCUUUAUGCUGCCAUUUGUUCAUUAUGUGCUAUGUUUGCUGGUGGGCCUUCAUGUAGUUGGUGGUUAGCGGCUCGGUGAAAGCUUUGCUUCAUUGAGUUGAUGCCAGUGACCGCAGUAUUCGCAAGCAUCGGUCUCCUCCUUGGAGGCAUCACCAAGGAUUGUGCCCUCACCUUUCGUUUUGGGUGAAAACCCUUGGCCCGACCUGUACCACUGUCGGGAAUGACAUUGACAAAUUUGUUUGUAGUAAUGCUCUAAUAGUCAUGUCUUCAUUAGUGUUCUCUCUUGAUAACGAGACUGAUUGCAACUAUGGUACUGCUAAUUAAUUUAAAUUUUUGUUAUCAUCUUCGAGAGUUUAUAUCUUCAUCAUUUAAUUCAGGUUCGACGAUCUUCCAUUUAGCCAAGUAACUAAAUUGUCAUUUAACUACUAGAAUUAUUCUCGCAUGUGAGUGCACUCUAAAUGUUAGAGGAUGGCAUGCUAUCUAGGCCUCCAGGGUCUGCAAUAAUAGUACGGUCCUAGGGUUUAUACUCCCUCCGUCCGGAAAUACUUGUCAUUGGAAUAGAUGUAUCUAGAUGUAUUUUAGUUCUAGAUACAUCCAUUUUCAUCCAUUUUGAUGACAAGUAUUUCCGGACGGAGGGAGUAUUACUCAAAAUCUGGAUGUAUUUUCAAGUUAAUUAUUUAGGAUUGAUCUAGGUUCUGUUGUUGGUCAUGACUCAGUUGUACACAAGGUGAUAGUUUAGAAUUCAUUGAUAAUGUAAUUUCAUAGAAUGAUUUGUGCCAGUAGUUGUUUUACUCAAAUAUGAACUUUUUGUUGUGUUGUUUGGUACGGACCUGGAGCAUCAUUCUCAUCCACCUAUAGAAGAUAGUAUAGCAUGGAUUAAGAACUACUCCCUCUAUCCCAAAAUAAGUGUAUCAACCAUACUACAACUUUGUACUAAAGUUAGUACAAAGUUGAGACACUUAUUUUGGGACGGAGGGACUAUAUGUAGUUGUGUAUAGUUUCAGUUAUAUAGCAAGCAUUCAUUACUUCCUUCUUUUUAAGCACUUCAUAUAGAUCAGUAAUGAUCCUUCAAAUUUUCUUUUGGUGAACCAUAUGAUAAUGGCCAAUCCACUCUUACGAAGUAGACAAUGGAAAUGUAUUUCACAUGAUGAAAUUUUGGUUUCAGGGGUAAAGAUAUUGAAUGUAUGGCACUUAACUUUUUUAUGGUGGGUGUGUGCCACUUGAUGUGAUGGAGUGACUCCUGGGCGGUGGUGUACAUGUUCCUCCAUGGCAAGGGCCCCCGCAUCAUGGGCAUUCUGACCAAGGUCGUGUAUUUUUGUGUCACCAGGGCGAUCCCCAUGUAACUGAUCCUAUUCCCUUCUAUAUGUAGCAUGGUCAACUUGCGUUGAUUGAUUCAGUAAAAGGGGUGUUGGUUUGUGUUUGGUUUUGUGUAACCUUCUGAAUUCCAAAACUAGAACAUGUACAGUUUAGGUGUGAAGAUGUACUUCAGCAUGUGAUUUGUUCUUUGAAAUUGAAUUCAGACCUUGAGUA